This 1755-nucleotide long non-coding RNA is filed under the name Suricata suricatta (meerkat). RNAcentral describes it as "lncRNA (ENSSSUG00005002210.1)". The record is from RNAcentral. Lineage: Eukaryota; Metazoa; Chordata; Mammalia; Carnivora; Herpestidae.
CGGGGCUCUGUGGAUCGUUUGCACUCUGUAUUUAUCGAGCAUUUAUGUCCGGGGGCGCGGGAGGGAGCAGGUGAAGAUUCAGGUCAGGCUUAACCACAUGCCCCUCCUUAGCCACACUGUGGCUCCACCGGUAACUGGCUGCUCACUGUAUACUUGCAGCCCGCACGACAAAUAACGCUGGGUGAAUAAUGGCAUUAAUACGCGAGUCGCUACGCAAGAAACCUGGAGAACUUUGGGACGUCAGGGCGUGCGGCUGGACCCGGUAGCCCAGACAAGCCAUUCAAACCACUGAAUUCUUCACCUUCUGUUGGCCAACGCAGGCACACGGCUGCGGUGGGCUGCGCGAGGAACCUCAGAGCUCCUAGAAUCUUCGGUUCCCCAGUAAGAGACUGUCUAAACGCGUGAACGCCGGGGGAAGGCACCACAAAAGAGGGCUUAGGCUUGAAAUUGAGUAUAGUUACUUCAAAUUACAAGAAAACACAAACCCUCCACUCAAUUAUGGAUCCAGAUAAGAAGCAGAGGAAGUAAAGUAGAGUCGACGAGAAAGGAGGCAGUUAGAAUAGCAAGACUCUGGAGGGGAAUGUUCCGUAGGAAGCGAACAAAUAUGGCCGAUACAAAAACGUAGCAAACAGUUUAAUAAAUACAAUUCUUAGCAUACUUUCCCUGUUGUGCCCUUGGUGUUAUUCAGAAAAAAGGUGAUCUAUUGUUUUCAAUAUAUAGCCUAGCUCCUCUCCUUGCCUUGGCUUGUAGCCUGGGUACAGGUGAAAAUAUGCCUCCCUCCCGGCCAAAAGAUUGUCCUUCCUGCUCCUGAAAGUCAGUGUUAUUUUUAUAGUGGAAUGCUUAUAGAAUCCCUUUCUUGGCGUUUGUUUCUACUCCACAGUAGAGUAGAGCUCAAGCCUUAGCAGAUAUUUUCAUCAAUAAAUCAGUAUCCUAUAUCGGUGUUAUUAAUACCCUUAAUUUCAAAUUAAUGGAGAUAGGAACUUAGUUGAGGAAAUCCAGCACAACAAGGAGAUUUUUAAAUAUACCUUGGUGGCAAAAUAGAACAAGAGACACACUUUAUCAUUUUUGUCAGAGCCAACCAGCUCCUCGUUUAGCUAAUUAGACAGCAGCCAAUCCUAUACUAAUGGAUUCCUCUUAAUAUAUCCCAUCUCCUCAUUCACUGCCACCGAGAGAACAAUGCUAGAUCUGAAUCUGAGAUCCUGUAGUUUGUCCCCCUACCUUCCUCCCCCUAUCUCCCUUCCCCCAACACUCACAAAACUUCUCAAAUAAAUAAGGAACAACAGGAAGAUGGCUCUUGGAGCCACUCCAUUCAGCUAUUAGCAGCACUAGGAAGGGACUUCCUUUCUCUCUGGCUUGUGACGUCUCAGAGACGGCAGUGCACUUGAGAUCCUUCAGGAUGCUCAGUGAUGAGGCAGAAGGAUGGACACAAAGUGGACCUUUGCCCCCGGACGAUGACUGAGGUGCAGGGAGCGCUUCUUCAGCCUCACCAAGAGUAAACUUUUGUGGCAGUAACACUACAUGAUGAGAAGCGGAUCAAAGAAACUAAAAACGGAGGAUGUGCUUAAAUUAUUUAUGAUGAUGCUGCAGCUGUAUUGAUCAGAGGCAGUUUUCUCUCUUACACUUACCUUCCCUGUACCUACGGAAGCUGCCACCUGCCCCCCCCCACCAGAAAGAAUUAUGCCAUGAUGUGCCAAGUGUGGUGGUGAGGGGUGGGUUACUGGUCAGGACCUUGGUGAAGAGAAGACUGGUCAUUUA